UGGGGAAUAUUGCACAAUGGGCGCAAGCCUGAUGCAGCCAUGCCGCGUGUAUGAAGAAGGCCUUCGGGUUGUAAAGUACUUUCAGCGGGGAGGAAGGUGUUGAGGUUAAUAACCUCAGCAAUUGACGUUACCCGCAGAAGAAGCACCGGCUAACUCCGUGCCAGCAGCCGCGGUAAUAAGGAGGGAGCAAGCGAUAAUCGGAAUUACUGGGCGUAAAGCGCACGCAGGCGGUCUGUCAAGUCGGAUGUGAAAUCCCCGGGCUCAACCUGGGAACUGCAUCCGAAACUGGCAGGCUUGAGUCUUGUAGAGGGGGGUAGAAUUCCAGGUGUAGCGGUGAAAUGCGUAGAGAUCUGGAGGAAUACCGGUGGCGAAGGCGGCCCCCUGGACAAAGACUGACGCUCAGGUGCGAAAGCGUGGGGAGCAAACA
RNAcentral lists this ribosomal RNA (427 nucleotides) under uncultured bacterium. RNAcentral describes it as "partial 16S ribosomal RNA". It matches the Rfam family "Bacterial small subunit ribosomal RNA", at positions 355 to 774 of the family's 1533-position model. The record is from RNAcentral.